Molecule: non-coding RNA, 328 nt
Organism: Vicugna pacos (alpaca)
Lineage: Eukaryota; Metazoa; Chordata; Mammalia; Artiodactyla; Camelidae
Source: RefSeq, a predicted model, not a curated record
AAAGAGAAAGAAAAAUACCAUAUGGUAUCAUUUAUAUGUGGAAUCUGGAAAAAAAAAGACACAAGAAAGCUAGAAUUCUUAGUUUGUAAACUUGCUGUUUUUGUUUUAUAAUUCAAGCCUUUCCCACUAAUCACAGGGGAUGGCAUCUGUUUCAUCAAGAGGCAUUCCUUGCUAAAAGGAAAUGAGAGCCACAUAAUGUCUUGAGGCACUGAUCAGCUAUUUCAAUCAGCCCCAAAACAAGUUCCUCGGAACUGGAGGAAUUCACAGCCUUACUUUUCAUAUCUUUUAACAUCAACUCAUAAAAUAAACAGAUCAGAAGAGCAAACGU